GAUCAUGCUUUUCCACAGCUUUCUUGAACUUUCUUUGUUUUCCAUCAUAAAAGAAUUAGCUAAUAGCUAGAUACAUGUAUAUAUAUGUGUAUGUAUAUACCAUGGAAGCUCAAGAAAGCUGUGGGAGAACAUGAUGA
Gossypium raimondii (Peruvian cotton) is the source of this 137-nucleotide non-coding RNA. The record is from Rfam. NCBI's taxonomy places the organism in Eukaryota, Viridiplantae, Streptophyta, Magnoliopsida, Malvales, Malvaceae.